Long non-coding RNA from Tigriopus californicus, 342 nucleotides. RefSeq lists it as uncharacterized. Lineage: Eukaryota; Metazoa; Arthropoda; Copepoda; Harpacticoida; Harpacticidae. The transcript is spliced from 2 exons. The record is from RefSeq and is a predicted model, not a curated record.
UUCGUUCAAAUUCCUGCGACCACCACUACCACUGGCAUUCACUGCGGCGGAAUAUUCAGUUCGGUUCUUGACAAUGAGAUGCCUGGAUCCAUCACUGGUGAAGUUGUGCCUUUUCAAAUCACAACGAUAAUUAAUGAUGAAAUUGGGCUUGGGCCAGCUGGGUCCGUUGCUGGUUAUAGCCUACAAUAUUCUCAAGCUCCUUGUUAAUGUAUUUGAGGCCUUAUUUCUAUUGAGUAUCAUGCUCAUUGUGGAGCAACUGAAAUAGUUAUGUUUGUAUUGUGUUUCUUUUUCCAUCGACAUUGUAUGACAAAAAUGACCAUAAAUAGAUAUAAGCUAACUGUU